CCUACGGGUGACUGCAGUGGGGGAUAUUGCACAAUGGGGUGAACCCUGAUGCAGCGACGCCGCGUGAGCGAAGAAGUACCUCGGUAUGUAAAGCUCUAUCAGCAGGGAAGAAAAUGACGGUACCUGACUAAGAAGCCCCGGCUAAAUACGUGCCAGCAGCCGCGGGAAUACGUAGGGGGCAAGCGUUAUCCGGCUUGACUGGGUGUAAAGGGAGCGCAUGCGGCCGGCCAAGUCUGUGGUGAAAACCCGGGGCCAAACCCCGAGCCUGCAUUGGAAACUGGCGGGCUGGAGUGUCGGAGGGGCAGGCGGAAUUGCUGGUGUAGCGGUGAAAUGCGUAGAUAUUAGGAGGAACACCGGUGGCGAAGGCGGCCUGCUGGACGAUGACUGACGCUGAGGCUCGAAAGCGUGGGGAGCAAACAGGAUUAGAUACCCCUGUAGUC
Molecule: ribosomal RNA, 440 nt
Filed under: uncultured bacterium
Lineage: Bacteria
Description: partial 16S ribosomal RNA
Rfam family: Bacterial small subunit ribosomal RNA
Source: RNAcentral